Molecule: ribosomal RNA, 2905 nt
Filed under: Salmonella enterica subsp. enterica
Lineage: Bacteria; Pseudomonadati; Pseudomonadota; Gammaproteobacteria; Enterobacterales; Enterobacteriaceae
Description: bacterial LSU rRNA
Rfam family: Bacterial large subunit ribosomal RNA
Source: RNAcentral
UUAAGCGACUAAGCGUACACGGUGGAUGCCCUGGCAGUCAGAGGCGAUGAAGGGCGUGCUAAUCUGCGAUAAGCGCCGGUAAGGUGAUAUGAACCGUUAUAACCGGCGAUACCCGAAUGGGGAAACCCAGUGUGAUUCGUCACACUAUCAUUAACUGAAUCCAUAGGUUAAUGAGGCGAACCGGGGGAACUGAAACAUCUAAGUACCCCGAGGAAAAGAAAUCAACCGAGAUUCCCCCAGUAGCGGCGAGCGAACGGGGAGGAGCCCAGAGCCUGAAUCAGCAUGUGUGUUAGUGGAAGCGUCUGGAAAGGCGCGCGAUACAGGGUGACAGCCCCGUACACAAAAGCGCAUGUGUUGUGAGCUCGAUGAGUAGGGCGGGACACGUGGUAUCCUGUCUGAAUAUGGGGGGACCAUCCUCCAAGGCUAAAUACUCCUGACUGACCGAUAGUGAACCAGUACCGUGAGGGAAAGGCGAAAAGAACCCCGGCGAGGGGAGUGAAAAAGAACCUGAAACCGUGUACGUACAAGCAGUGGGAGCACAGGUUUACCUGUGUGACUGCGUACCUUUUGUAUAAUGGGUCAGCGACUUAUAUUCUGUAGCAAGGUUAACCGUAUAGGGGAGCCGGAGGGAAACCGAGUCUUAAUUGGGCGUUAAGUUGCAGGGUAUAGACCCGAAACCCGGUGAUCUAGCCAUGGGCAGGUUGAAGGUUGGGUAACACUAACUGGAGGACCGAACCGACUAAUGUUGAAAAAUUAGCGGAUGACCUGUGGCUGGGGGUGAAAGGCCAAUCAAACCGGGAGAUAGCUGGUUCUCCCCGAAAGCUAUUUAGGUAGCGCCUCGUGAAUUCAUCUCCGGGGGUAGAGCACUGUUUCGGCUAGGGGGCCAUCCCGGCUUACCAACCCGAUGCAAACUGCGAAUACCGGAGAAUGUUAUCACGGGAGACACACGGCGGGUGCUAACGUCCGUCGUGAAGAGGGAAACAACCCAGACCGCCAGCUAAGGUCCCAAAGUCAUGGUUAAGUGGGAAACGAUGUGGGAAGGCCCAGACAGCCAGGAUGUUGGCUUAGAAGCAGCCAUCAUUUAAAGAAAGCGUAAUAGCUCACUGGUCGAGUCGGCCUGCGCGGAAGAUGUAACGGGGCUAAACCAUGCACCGAAGCUGCGGCAGCGACACUGUGUGUUGUUGGGUAGGGGAGCGUUCUGUAAGCCUGUGAAGGUGUGUCGUGAGGCAUGCUGGAGGUAUCAGAAGUGCGAAUGCUGACAUAAGUAACGAUAAAGCGGGUGAAAAGCCCGCUCGCCGGAAGACCAAGGGUUCCUGUCCAACGUUAAUCGGGGCAGGGUGAGUCGACCCCUAAGGCGAGGCCGAAAGGCGUAGUCGAUGGGAAACGGGUUAAUAUUCCCGUACUUGGUGUUACUGCGAAGGGGGGACGGAGAAGGCUAUGUUGGCCGGGCGACGGUUGUCCCGGUUUAAGCGUGUAGGUGUGUGUUCCAGGUAAAUCCGGUUCACUUUAACACUGAGGCGUGACGACGAGGCACUACGGUGCUGAAGCAACAAAUGCCCUGCUUCCAGGAAAAGCCUCUAAGCAUCAGGUAACAUCAAAUCGUACCCCAAACCGACACAGGUGGUCAGGUAGAGAAUACCAAGGCGCUUGAGAGAACUCGGGUGAAGGAACUAGGCAAAAUGGUGCCGUAACUUCGGGAGAAGGCACGCUGACACGUAGGUGAAGUGAUUUACUCAUGGAGCUGAAGUCAGUCGAAGAUACCAGCUGGCUGCAACUGUUUAUUAAAAACACAGCACUGUGCAAACACGAAAGUGGACGUAUACGGUGUGACGCCUGCCCGGUGCCGGAAGGUUAAUUGAUGGGGUCAGCGCAAGCGAAGCUCCUGAUCGAAGCCCCGGUAAACGGCGGCCGUAACUAUAACGGUCCUAAGGUAGCGAAAUUCCUUGUCGGGUAAGUUCCGACCUGCACGAAUGGCGUAAUGAUGGCCAGGCUGUCUCCACCCGAGACUCAGUGAAAUUGAACUCGCUGUGAAGAUGCAGUGUACCCGCGGCAAGACGGAAAGACCCCGUGAACCUUUACUAUAGCUUGACACUGAACAUUGAGCCUUGAUGUGUAGGAUAGGUGGGAGGCUUUGAAGCGUGGACGCCAGUCUGCGUGGAGCCGACCUUGAAAUACCACCCUUUAAUGUUUGAUGUUCUAACGUGGACCCGUGAUCCGGGUUGCGGACAGUGUCUGGUGGGUAGUUUGACUGGGGCGGUCUCCUCCUAAAGAGUAACGGAGGAGCACGAAGGUUGGCUAAUCCUGGUCGGACAUCAGGAGGUUAGUGCAAUGGCAUAAGCCAGCUUGACUGCGAGCGUGACGGCGCGAGCAGGUGCGAAAGCAGGUCAUAGUGAUCCGGUGGUUCUGAAUGGAAGGGCCAUCGCUCAACGGAUAAAAGGUACUCCGGGGAUAACAGGCUGAUACCGCCCAAGAGUUCAUAUCGACGGCGGUGUUUGGCACCUCGAUGUCGGCUCAUCACAUCCUGGGGCUGAAGUAGGUCCCAAGGGUAUGGCUGUUCGCCAUUUAAAGUGGUACGCGAGCUGGGUUUAGAACGUCGUGAGACAGUUCGGUCCCUAUCUGCCGUGGGCGCUGGAGAACUGAGGGGGGCUGCUCCUAGUACGAGAGGACCGGAGUGGACGCAUCACUGGUGUUCGGGUUGUCAUGCCAAUGGCACUGCCCGGUAGCUACAUGCGGAAGAGAUAAGUGCUGAAAGCAUCUAAGCACGAAACUUGCCCCGAGAUGAGUUCUCCCUGAGACUUAGAGUCUCCUGAAGGAACGUUGAAGACGACGACGUUGAUAGGCCGGGUGUGUAAGCGCAGCGAUGCGUUGAGCUAACCGGUACUAAUGAACCGUGAGGCUUAACCUU